UGGGGAAUCUUCCGCAAUGGACGAAAGUCUGACGGAGCAACGCCGCGUGAGUGAAGACGGCCUUCGGGUUGUAAAGCUCUGUGAUCCGGGACGAAAGAGCCUGAGGUGAAUAGCCUAAGGAAGUGACGGUACCGGAAAAGCAAGCCACGGCUAACUACGUGCCAGCAGCCGCGGUAAUACGUAGGUGGCAAGCGUUGUCCGGAAUUAUUGGGCGUAAAGCGCGCGCAGGCGGCUUCCUAAGUCCAUCUUAAAAGUGCGGGGCUUAACCCCGUGAUGGGAUGGAAACUGGGAAGCUGGAGUAUCGGAGAGGAAAGUGGAAUUCCUGGUGUAGCGGUGAAAUGCGUAGAGAUUAGGAAGAACACCGGUGGCGAAGGCGACUUUCUGGACGAAAACUGACGCUGAGGCGCGAAAGCGUGGGGAGCAAACAGG
Molecule: ribosomal RNA, 429 nt
Filed under: Fusobacteriota bacterium
Lineage: Bacteria; Fusobacteriati; Fusobacteriota
Description: Fusobacteria bacterium partial 16S ribosomal RNA
Rfam family: Bacterial small subunit ribosomal RNA
Source: RNAcentral